RNAcentral lists this ribosomal RNA (406 nucleotides) under uncultured bacterium. RNAcentral's name for it is "partial 16S ribosomal RNA". It matches the Rfam family "Bacterial small subunit ribosomal RNA", at positions 30 to 526 of the family's 1533-position model. The record is from RNAcentral.
AUUGAACGCUGGCGGCAGGCCUAACACAUGCAAGUCGAACGCGUGGCGGACGGGUGAGUAAUGUCUGUGAAACUGCUCGCUGGUGGGGGAUAACUACUGGAAACGGUAGCUAAUACCGCAUACCAUCGGAUGUGCCCAGAUGGGAUUAGCUAGUAGGUUGGGUAACGGCUCACCUAGGCGACGUUCCCUAGCUGGUCUGAGAGGAUGACAAGCCACACUGGAACGGAGACACGGUCCAGACUCCGACGUGAGGCAGCAGUGGGGAAUAUUGCACAAUGGGCGCAAGCCUGAUGCAGCCAUGCCGCGUGUAUGAAGAAGGCCUUCGGUUUGUAAAGUAAUUUCAGCGAGGAGGCGUUACUAGAAGAAGAAGCACCGGCUAACUCCGUGCCAGCAGCCGCGGUAAUUC